This 642-nucleotide ribosomal RNA is filed under the name Cortinarius camphoratus. RNAcentral describes it as "eukaryotic LSU rRNA". It matches the Rfam family "Eukaryotic large subunit ribosomal RNA", at positions 1 to 626 of the family's 3401-position model. The record is from RNAcentral. Lineage: Eukaryota; Fungi; Basidiomycota; Agaricomycetes; Agaricales; Cortinariaceae.
GUGACCUCAAAUCAGGUAGGACUACCCGCUGAACUUAAGCAUAUCAAUAAGCGGAGGAAAAGAAACUAACAAGGAUUCCCCUAGUAACUGCGAGUGAAGCGGGAAAAGCUCAAAUUUAAAAUCUGUCAGUCUUUGGCUGUCCGAGUUGUAAUCUAGAGAAGUGUUAUCCGCGCUGGACCGUGUACAAGUCUCCUGGAAUGGAGCGUCAUAGAGGGUGAGAAUCCCGUCUUUGACACGGACUGCCAGGGCUUUGUGAUGCGCUCUCAAAGAGUCGAGUUGUUUGGGAAUGCAGCUCAAAAUGGGUGGUAAAUUCCAUCUAAAGCUAAAUAUUGGCGAGAGACCGAUAGCGAACAAGUACCGUGAGGGAAAGAUGAAAAGAACUUUGGAAAGAGAGUUAAACAGUACGUGAAAUUGCUGAAAGGGAAACGCUUGAAGUCAGUCGCGUUGUCCAGGGAUCAACCUUGCUUUUGCUUGGUGUACUUUCUGGUCGACGGGUCAGCAUCAAUUUUGACUAUUGGAAAAAGAUUAGGGGAAUGUGGCAUCUUUGGAUGUGUUAUAGCCCUUGGUUGCAUACAAUGGUCGGGAUUGAGGAACUCAGCACGCCGAAAGGCCGGGUUGUUAACCACGUACGUGCUAGGAUGC